CCCUUAGAUGUUCUGGGCCGCACGCGCGCUACACUGAUGCAUUCAACGAGUCUAAAACCUGCUCUGAUAGGGGUGGGUAAUCUUUUGGAUGUGCAUCGUGAUUGGGAUAGAUGAUUGCAAUUUUUCAUCUUCAACGAGGAAUGCCUAGUAAACGCAAGUCAUCAGCUUGCAUUGAUUACGUCCCUGCCCUUUGUACACACCGCCCGUCGCUCCUACCGAUUGAAUGAUCCGAUGAAUAUCAUGGAUUGAGGAUGCAAGCAGGUUCGCCUGUCUUCAUCUUCGAGAAGUGAAGUAAAUCUUAUCAUUUAGAGGAAGGAGAAGUCGUAACA
Molecule: ribosomal RNA, 329 nt
Filed under: uncultured eukaryote
Lineage: Eukaryota
Description: partial 18S ribosomal RNA
Rfam family: Eukaryotic small subunit ribosomal RNA
Source: RNAcentral